Molecule: ribosomal RNA, 440 nt
Filed under: uncultured bacterium
Lineage: Bacteria
Description: partial 16S ribosomal RNA
Rfam family: Bacterial small subunit ribosomal RNA
Source: RNAcentral
CCUACGGGAGGCAGCAGUAGGGAAUAUUGCUCAAUGGGGGAAACCCUGAAGCAGCAACGCCGCGUGGAGGAUGAAGGUUUUCGGAUUGUAAACUCCUUUUGUUAGAGAAGAAAAUGACGGUAUCUAACGAAUAAGCACCGGCUAACACCGUGCAAGCAGCCGCGGGAAUACGGAGGGUGCAAGCGUUACACGGAUUCACUGGGCGUAAAGAGCGCGUAGGCGGGAUAGCAAGUCAGAUGUGAAAUCCUAUGGCUUAACCAUAGAACUGCAUUUGAAACUGUUAUUCUAGAGUAUGGGAGAGGUAGGUGGAAUUCUUGGUGUAGGGGUAAAAUCCGUAGAGAUCAAGAGGAAUACUCAUUGCGAAGGCGACCUGCUAGAACAUAACUGACGCUGAUGCGCGAAAGCGUGGGGAGCAAACAGGAUUAGAUACCCGAGUAGUC